This 292-nucleotide ribosomal RNA is filed under the name uncultured bacterium. RNAcentral's name for it is "partial 16S ribosomal RNA". It matches the Rfam family "Bacterial small subunit ribosomal RNA", at positions 505 to 796 of the family's 1533-position model. The record is from RNAcentral.
GUGCCAGCAGCCGCGGUAAUACGUAGGGACCAAGCGUUGUUCGGAUUUACUGGGCGUAAAGGGCGCGUAGGCGGUUUGUCAAGUCAGUUGUGAAAUCUCCGAGCUUAACUCGGAACGGUCAACUGAUACUGUCAAACUAGAGUACAGAAGGGGCAAUCGGAAUUCUUGGUGUAGCGGUGAAAUGCGUAGAUCUCAAGAGGAACACCUGAGGUGAAGACGGGUUGCUGGGCUGAUACUGACGCUGAGGCGCGAAAGCUAGGGUAGCAAACGGGAUUAGAUACCCUGGUAGUCA